UUGAACGCUGGCGGCAUGCCUUACACAUGCAAGUCGAACGGUAGAGUAGCAAUACUCGAGAGUGGCGAACGGGUGAGUAAUAUAUCGGAACGUGCCCAGUCGUGGGGGAUAACGUAGAGAAAUUUACGCUAAUACCGCAUACGAUCUAAGGAUGAAAGCGGGGGACUCGCAAGGGCCUCGCGCGAUUGGAGCGGCUGAUAUCAGAUUAGGUUGUUGGUGAGGUAAAAGCUCACCAAGCCGACGAUCUGUAGCUGGUUUGAGAGAACGACCAGCCACACUGGGACUGAGACACGGCCCAGACUCCUACGGGAGGCAGCAGUGGGGAAUUUUGGACAAUGGGCGAAAGCCUGAUCCAGCAAUGCCGCGUGCAGGAAGAAGGCCUUCGGGUUGUAAAGCUCUUUCGGCGGGGAAGAAAUCGCAUUCUCUAAUACAGGAUGUGGAUGACGGUACCCGAAUAAGAAGCACCGGCUAACUACGU
RNAcentral lists this ribosomal RNA (478 nucleotides) under uncultured bacterium. Its description in RNAcentral is "bacterial SSU rRNA". It matches the Rfam family "Bacterial small subunit ribosomal RNA", at positions 30 to 506 of the family's 1533-position model. The record is from RNAcentral.